Molecule: long non-coding RNA, 216 nt
Filed under: Elaeis guineensis (African oil palm)
Lineage: Eukaryota; Viridiplantae; Streptophyta; Magnoliopsida; Arecales; Arecaceae
Description: long non-coding RNA (EGUI_LNC041414)
Source: RNAcentral
GUUGGGGCCAAUAUUGCCUUGGUCAUCUUCCUUAAUGUUGUACUAGUGCUGCCUCUACUUGGUGUCGAAGGGUUGCCUGCGCUCUACUCCAUCUCUGGAGAUCUCCUUCAUACCUUCGAUUAGUUGCUGAAUGCUUGGAGAGAGUGCUUCAGGGGACAUCCCACUUUGGCAUGGGAGGUGUUGGAAAGUUUCGCCGCUCUGAUUGUGAGACCGUGG